UAUUGGUCAAUGGGGGAAACCCUGAACCAGCAACGCCGCGUGAGGGAAGACGGUUUUCGGAUUGUAAACCUCUGUCCUCUGUGAAGAUAAUGACGGUAGCAGAGGAGGAAGCUCCGGCUAACUACGUGCCAGAAGCCGCGGUAAUACGUAGGGAGCAAGCGUUGUCCGGAUUUACGGGGUGUAAAGGGUGCGUAGGCGGCUUUGCAAGUCAGACGUGAAAGCCAUGGGCUUAACCCAUGAACUGCUUUUGAAACUGCAGAGCUUGAGUGGAGUAGAGGUAGGCGGAAUUCCCGGUGUAGCGGUGAAAUGCGUAGAGAUCGGGAGGAACACCAGCGGCGAAGGCGGCCUGCUGGGCUCUAACUGACGCUGAGGCACGAAAGCGUGGGUAGCAAACAGG
RNAcentral lists this ribosomal RNA (397 nucleotides) under uncultured bacterium. RNAcentral describes it as "bacterial SSU rRNA". It matches the Rfam family "Bacterial small subunit ribosomal RNA", at positions 362 to 776 of the family's 1533-position model. The record is from RNAcentral.